UGUUACAUUUAAAAUUAAAAUAUACAUAAGUAUAUAGGUAUAUAUUACAUGGCAGGAUUUACUUAAAAUAUUCUAGCCGAGAGCAAAUUCUUACUUCGUCCUCAGUACUUCCAUUUAAGAUACUUUACAUAAUCGCAUGAAUAUUGUAAAUGUAUUUUACAUGUGGAUGAAUACUGUGGGCUUAACUGAAAACUAUCGCUAAAUAUAAAUUUUUACUGUACAAUUUACGAGUAUGUAAAAAUAAUUAUUGAGAAAAUUUUUCGUCAUAAUUUUGGUUUUUAUUAAAAAACUUUGCAACUUAAAUUGUGGACCAACUAAAGACAGUAAAAUGUAUCGAUUUUUAUCGGUAGGGGUGCAGUAGUACGGGUGUAACACGACCUAUAUAAAUCUAUGUACUAGGUUGUGCCUGAAGUGAGUUAAGUUAUGGGUGAUCGUGUCGAUCGCGACUCUCAGGGGACGAUAGCCGGAAGCUGAGAAAUAUAGAAGAUUAAAAAGGGCUUCGAGGGUUGUUUUUAUAUUUGAAAUAUAUAUAUGAAUUAAGGGAGAGAGCCAUUAUACAAACAGUGGAUAGUAAAAAUAAAAAAAAAUUACACGCGCAUGUAAUUGACUCGUACUGUACACGGAGAAAUUAUUCUCGUUUAAAAUGAUAGUCAUAGUAAAUCUAGACCAUGUUGGCCACCUGCAGAAAUUGAAGAAAACACAUGCGAAAAUUACUAUGAUCAAGUGUGAGGUCUUUCGGUUCUGAGAUUCGUCUUGUCACCGACCUUAAGAAUUUAAUCCGGUUCAAAAAUUAAAAAAUUGAAUUUGAAUUUGAAUUCGACUAAUGCCCAAAUAUGGGAUUGCCUAAGACCUAAUAAUAUAUACAUAUUUUUAAGAAAAAUAAAAUUGUAGCAUUUUAAAAGAGAAUUUCUAUGUAUGUUUUGAAAUGGAGCAGCCAAAAUGGCCUAGUAUAAAAAACCAAUGGUUUUUUAUUUAAAGCCGUAAGAUGGACGGUGGCGUCUAAAGGUUCACCUAAAGUUUACAAAUCCAGUGAUAUUCAUGCUUGUAAACUUUGCUACUUGAAAUUGGUUAUUUGUCAGUUUUCUGGCAUCUCGCCUAUAAGUGUCUGGGAAGUGUCUUUCAGAACACUUUCGAUGCACUUUCGGAUACAUUCGGAUACUUUCGGAACACUUUCGAGCACAUUCGAGCAGAUAGAUACCUGUCAAAAACUUGUCAAAAACACAAAUUUCACAUGAGAAAAAAUUUCAAAUAAUAAUAAUAUAAUUUUUUUUCACUUCAAAUGCGUAAAAAAUAAUUUUUUAAAUGGCAACUUUAAGAAAAGGCUGAAAACUGAGUAGUUUACUUCAAUUAUUGAAAGCAUUAAAUCGGAAAAAAAUGUAUUUUAUUUUUAAUAAAACAGUAAAAUAUAUUUUCUGAAUAAUGCAUACUGAACAGAAAAUAAAAUAUAAAAUGUGUGAUAAAAGAAGUCAUAAAAAAAGUAUACAACAUAAAAGUUAUUAUUAAAGUUUAUGAAAAAUAAGUUUAAAGUGUGAGGACCAAUUUAAGUUCAUUUGGUAAAGUUUAAGUACAUCUCAAUGCACAAUUGCAAAAGUUUUUAUGCAGAUAAAAUAGUAAUAAUAAUAAUGAAGUAUAAAAUUCACAAAAGCGCGCUGAAGAAAAUAUUCAAAUAAAACUUUUUUUUAUUGACAAUAAUGCAUUUAUUUUUCCACACUGAUAAAUUAUUCUUUGUAUGUAAAGUAAAUAAGCGAAGAAAAAUUAUUUAUAUAAAAAGUUUGUUAUUCAUAGAGCAUAAAAAAUUUCAAAUUUUUCUUUCACUUAUCAAAAGCUUGCAAUAACUUUUCGUUAAAAAAAAGUCUAAGAGAUAAAUUAUAGGAAUUAAUUGCAAAUGAAGAUACAAAUGGCAGAGUACAGUGAGAUAAAAGGAACUACUCAGAGCUCUCGUGAGUAUUGUUACUGCUUAUUUUAUUUUUAUUCCAUGUGCGAGUGUGUUAUUGUAAGUAAAACAUGCGAGGCAAGAUAAAUUAGAGAAAUAGAUGACGGCAGUGGAAAGAGAUUUCCGUGUACGUUAAAUCCGAGACAAGCUCCGGAAAUGCGUUUAUCUGAAGAGAGCUUUCACGGUAGUUUAAGAUAUGAAUUAGUACUGUAAAUUCACGCUUGGUUAUAAAUAUUAAAUGCUAAGAGUAAUAUAAAGAAAAAUCAAAAUCAGAAGUCCGUUUUAAAAAUUUUAAUUAAAUAAAUUCACAACAUUCUAUUUAUGAAUCAACAAAAAUAAAAUAAUGGAGUUUUAGAUCGAUGUAGCGCACUCUGUUAGUACGAGCGAUAAGAAUGAUAAUAAAACUUUUAAAAAAGAAAAACGACGGUUAAGUUGUGCACCUGACUGAAGAACAAAUUUUGUCUGACAUCCAACGCUAUAACUUAUAAUCAAACUGAGAGUUAGAAGUACAUGGAAAUAAAGUGAAGAUGCCAAAAGGCGAAUGCUCUUGAUGAGAUUGGUUGUAAUAUGGCUGCCUGCCAAAGUACUAGUUACAUCAAUCCUUUAUGUACAUCCACAUAUACAUAUAUAUCCAUAACAUAAAUGGAAUGUACAUCGGAAUCCUCUCAACAGUCAUAUCCUAGAAGACAAUAGUUAACCUGCUUCGGGUAUCGUGAAUGGGCUCAAGGCAAUCCCAGAGAAGUAAACUUGACGCCUCUGAUUUUCUACCCAACAAUGAGAAUCAUCCUCGUUAGCACAUCAGGUUGAUCACAAAGGCAAGAGCAUAAAUCACCAAAGAGCGUCGACGAAAAUUUUUUUUUUAAAUAUUUUUUCUUUUAAACAUAAACAACUGGUGUGAUAUUUAGGGAAACAUAAUGUAAAUUAUAAUUUAAAUGUACUUAAGGCCAUUUUUACACAGUGCCCCCCCUCCACUUUUUUCAAAUAUUCAAUGAAUUAAUUGUAAUGCCUGCGGAGUUACAAUUUUGCUGUAAGAUUAUUUAAAAAAAAAUUAUUUACAGUUGACAUC
Molecule: long non-coding RNA, 2999 nt
Organism: Microplitis demolitor
Lineage: Eukaryota; Metazoa; Arthropoda; Insecta; Hymenoptera; Braconidae
Exons: 3
Source: RefSeq, a predicted model, not a curated record